This 429-nucleotide unclassified non-coding RNA is filed under the name fungal sp. Its description in RNAcentral is "partial internal transcribed spacer region". The stretch from base 1 to 45 matches the Rfam family "Eukaryotic small subunit ribosomal RNA", at positions 1787 to 1831 of the family's 1831-position model. The record is from RNAcentral. Lineage: Eukaryota; Fungi.
AGUCGUAACAAGGUUUCCGUAGGUGAACCUGCGGAAGGAUCAUUAACACGUAUCCAACGUUAAACCCCCCGUGCACACAGCGACCUGCUCCAAAAAUUUCGGCCUUUUGGCAAUUCCUGGUAAAUCAUCGCCGAACAGUUUUGAUUCAGGGACAUCCAAAGGGUCGGGGUAGGGUAUUAAAGUAGUAGUCAAUGCAAAGCAACCUGGUUUCUUUGAAGCAGAAAGUGUGAUGGCGUGAGCCGGAGAACGGACCGAGUGGUAGUUCAAAGGUGCCUUCUGUCGCGCACUGUGGAAAGGAAGACGCUUUACGAAUAACACGGUCAGUGACCGGGUUCCUGGUCCUAGACCCCAUAUUCACCACCACAGUCGCAGACGAGGUAGGGAUACGUCCCCCACCAAAUAAAUACUUGAACAACUAUCUUGGUUCUC